AAAACACUGGAGAUGUUGGACGGGCCGGUGGCUCCACAAAUGUCAAAUCUCAGACUGAGCUCAGAGAUGUUGGACAGAGGAGAAAACGAGGUGAUCCAGGGAAGAGC
This is a long non-coding RNA of Mugil cephalus (flathead mullet), 107 nucleotides long. RefSeq lists it as uncharacterized. The transcript has 3 exons. The record is from RefSeq and is a predicted model, not a curated record. Lineage: Eukaryota; Metazoa; Chordata; Actinopteri; Mugiliformes; Mugilidae.